RNAcentral lists this small RNA (6469 nucleotides) under Pongo abelii (Sumatran orangutan). Its description in RNAcentral is "retained intron". The record is from RNAcentral. Lineage: Eukaryota; Metazoa; Chordata; Mammalia; Primates; Hominidae.
CACAGGGAACGGGUAGGGUCCCACAGUUUGGGGAGAGACAUGUCAGUCCUCAAGGUCUGGGAUCAGGGCGUGGCCAGGGUCUCCGCUGGCUUUGCUGAUGGUCAGGACCCAGGCAUGCCAGGCAAGGCCUCAGCCCAGCAGUUGCCAAGCGUGUAGCCACUUUGGUCCCCUGGAGAGAGUCGCGCUGCGGAGCCCCCAGGGGGACCUGAGGUCACGAAAGCCUCGAUGCACCUGAGUGUGGAGCUGGAGGUCCCUGGAGCCGCUGUCCCCACCUGCGGCGCUGGAGCCCUGGAGGUGGCCAGGGGCUUCCUUGGAACGUGGAGACGUGCUGGUUAAACGUGGAGCCCUGGGCCAGCCGGGCACUGGGGACUGCAGGUGGAGGGAGGUGAAUGCUCUCCCUCGUGGGGGCGUGUCUUUUCCACAGGAAAGGGAAAGGGGGAGGGACACGGGUCAGCAGUGGGGGGCUGUGCAGUCUCGCAGAUCUUCACCCUUGGUUCUUGAACUCUGGACCCUGAGCCCUGCCAAGGGUCCCGCAUAGGUGGGCAAGGAGCUCCCGGCUGCUUGGUCUCCGCUGUGUUGGGGCUGCCAGCAGGGGACGCUGGGCCCCCGGAAGCCUAACUCAUGCUCCCUCCCCGCCCCGCAGUCUCCAUCGACUCCAUCCAGGAGGUGAGUGAGGGGCGGCAGUCGGAGGUCUUCCAGCGCUACCCUGACGGCAGCUUCGACCCCAACUGCUGCUUCAGCAUCUACCACGGCAGCCACCGCGAGUCGCUGGACCUGGUCUCCACCAGCAGCGAGGUGGCACGCACCUGGGUCACUGGCCUGCGCUACCUCAUGGCCGGCAUCAGCGACGAGGACAGCCUGGCUCGCCGCCAGCGCACCAGGGACCAAUGGCUGAAGCAGACAUUUGACGAGGCCGACAAGAAUGGGGACGGCAGCCUGAGCAUCGGCGAGGUCCUGCAGCUGCUGCACAAGCUCAACGUGAACCUGCCCCGGCAGAGGGUGAAGCAGAUGUUCAGGGAAGCGGACACGGAUGACCACCAAGGGACGCUGGGUUUUGAAGAGUUCUGUGCCUUCUACAAGAUGAUAUCCACCCGCCGGGACCUCUACCUGCUCAUGCUGACCUACAGCAACCACAAGGACCACCUGGAUGCCGCCAGCCUGCAGCGCUUCCUGCAGGUGGAGCAGAAGAUGACGGGUGUGACCCUCGAGAGCUGCCAGGACAUCAUCGAGCAGUUUGAGCCAUGCCCAGAAAACAAGAGUAAGGGGCUGCUGGGCAUUGAUGGCUUCACCAACUACACCAGGAGCCCUGCUGGUGACAUCUUCAACCCUGAGCACCACCACGUGCACCAGGACAUGACGCAGCCACUGAGUCACUACUUCAUCACCUCGUCCCACAACACCUACCUCGUGGGUGACCAGCUCAUGUCCCAGUCACGGGCGGACAUGUACGCUUGGGUCCUGCAGGCUGGCUGCCGCUGCGUGGAGGUGGACUGCUGGGAUGGGCCCGACGGGGAGCCCAUCGUGCACCAUGGCUACACUCUGACCUCCAAGAUCCUCUUCAAAGACGUCAUUGAAACCAUCAACAAAUAUGCCUUCAUCAAGAACGAGUACCCAGUGAUCCUGUCCAUCGAGAACCACUGCAGUGUCAUCCAGCAGAAGAAAAUGGCCCAGUAUCUGACCGACAUCCUUGGGGACAAGCUGGACCUGUCAUCAGUGAGCAGUGAAGAUGCCACCACACUCCCCUCUCCACAGAUGCUCAAGGGCAAGAUCCUCGUGAAGGGGAAGAAGCUCCCAGCCAACAUCAGCGAGGAUGCGGAGGAAGGCGAGGUGUCUGAUGAGGACAGCGCUGAUGAGAUUGACGAUGACUGCAAGCUCCUCAAUGGGGAUGCAUCCACCAAUCGAAAGCAUGUAGAAAACAUUGCUAAGAGGAAACUGGAUUCUCUCAUCAAGGAGUCGAAGAUUCGGGACUGUGAGGACCCCAACGACUUCUCCGUCUCCACACUGUCCCCAUCUGGAAAACUCGGACGCAAGAGCAAGGCUGAAGAGGACGUGGAGUCUGGGGAGGAUGCCGGGGCCAGCAGACGCAAUGGCCGCCUCGUCGUGGGAAGCUUCUCCAGGCGCAAGAAGAAGGGCAGCAAGCUGAAGAAGGCGGCCAGCGUGGAGGAGGGAGAUGAGGGUCAGGACUCCCCGGGAGGCCAGAGCCGAGGGGCGACCCGGCAGAAGAAGACCAUGAAGCUGUCCCGGGCCCUCUCUGACCUGGUGAAGUACACCAAGUCCGUGGCCACCCACAACAUAGAGAUGGAGGCAGCGUCCAGCUGGCAGGUGUCGUCCUUCAGCGAGACCAAGGCCCACCAGAUUCUGCAGCAGAAGCCAGCGCAGUACCUGCGCUUCAACCAGCACCAGCUCUCCCGCAUCUACCCCUCCUCCUACCGCGUGGACUCCAGCAACUACAACCCGCAGCCCUUCUGGAACGCCGGCUGCCAAAUGGUUGCCCUGAACUACCAGUCAGAGGGGCGGAUGCUGCAGCUGAACCGAGCCAAGUUCAGCGCCAACGGUGGCUGCGGCUACGUACUCAAGCCUGGGUGCAUGUGCCAGGGUGUGUUCAACCCCAACUCGGAGGACCCCCUGCCCGGGCAGCUCAAGAAGCAGCUGGUGCUCCGGAUCAUCAGUGGCCAACAGCUUCCGAAGCCGCGCGACUCCAUGCUGGGGGACCGCGGGGAGAUCAUCGACCCCUUUGUGGAGGUGGAGAUCAUCGGGCUCCCCGUGGACUGUAGCCGGGAGCAGACCCGCGUGGUGGACGACAACGGGUUCAACCCCACCUGGGAGGAGACCCUGGUGUUCACGGUGCACAUGCCGGAGAUCGCGCUGGUCCGCUUCCUCAUCUGGGACCACGAUCCCAUCGGGCGUGACUUCAUUGGCCAGAGGACGCUGGCCUUCAGCAGCAUGAUGCCAGGCUACAGGCACGUGUACCUGGAGGGGAUGGAAGAGGCCUCCAUCUUUGUACAUGUGGCUGUCAGUGACGUCAGCGGUAAGGUCAAGCAGGCUCUGGGCCUAAAAGGCCUCUUCCUCCGAGGCCCAAAGCCCGGCUCACUGGACAGUCAUGCUGCUGGGCGGCCCCUGGCCCGGCCCUCCGUUAGCCAGCGGCUCCUGCGGCGCACGGCCAGCGCCCCGACCAAGAGCCAGAAGCCAGGCCGCAAGGGCUUCCCGGAGCUGGUCCUGGGCGCACAGGACGCAGGCUCCAAGGGGGUGGCAGACGACGUGGUGCCCCCCGGGCCCGGACCUGCUCCGGAAGCCCCAGCCCAGGAGGGGCCCGGCAGCGGCAGCCCCCGAGGUAAGGCGCCGGCUGCGGUGGCAGAGAAGAGCCCUGUGCGAGUGCGGCCCCCGCGUGUCCUGGAUGGCCCCGGGCCUGCUGGGGUGGCCGCCACAUGCACAAAGUGUGUGGUGGGAUCCUGCGCCGGCAUGAACACCGAGGGCCUGCAGAGGGAGCGGCCACCCAGCCCGGGGCCUGCGAGCAGGCAGGCAGCCAUUCGCCAGCAGCCCCGGGCCUGGGCUGACUCGCUGGGGGCCCCCUGCUAUGGCCUGGACCCUCAAGCUAUGCCGGGGAGAAGCAGAGAGGCCCCCAACGGUCCCGGGGCCUGGAGGCAGGGUCCAGGCGGUGGCGGCUCCAUGUCCUCGGACUCCAGCAGCCCAGACAGCCCAGGCAUCCCUGAAAGGUCCCCCCGCUGGCCUGAGGGUGCCUGCAGGCAACCGGGGGCCCUGCAGGGAGAGAUGAGUGCCUUGUUUGCUCAAAAGCUGGAGGAGAUCAGGAGUAAAUCCCCCAUGUUCUCCGCCGGUAAGCCCCUCUUGCCCCGCGUGGUCCUCCCGCAUGCCCCUGGCAUGGCUGGGCCCUGGGUCACCUGCUGCUGCUGCUGCUUCGUGGACGGCGUCGCCUCGUGUGCUCGUGCUCGUGGCUCUGUCUCCGUGGCACUGUCUCCGUGGCACUCUGCUCCCUUGGCUUGCCUGUGGCCCAUAGCCCCAGCCCUCCUGUCUGACCCUGAGGCCCUGGGACUUGGGUGGAGCUGGUUUGAGGCCCAACAGGCUGGGAAGAAUCAGCUGCUCUUGCUGAGGGUCCGGGGCCGGGACUAUGGCCUGACAUGCUGGGCCCCUCCGGCUGAGCGCUUCCCCAAACUCACCUCCUGGGCAGCUGGCAACCUGCAUGGCCCCUGAUGCCUUUCCUGGGACUGGGGGCCACAUCCCAUCCCAUUCCCACCUCCCUCUAGGGCAGGCUCUGGGGGUCCCUACUGGGAAGUCUGAUGUGGGCAGGCAGUGCAGCUGCUGGGCGUCUCCUGCGCCCCCGGGAUGCCUGGAGCCUGCUGAGUACUGCGUGGAGUAGAUUCCCUGGGCCCCGGGGCUUCGCUGCUUUGGGCUGAAGCGCCCCACUAGGAGGAUGUCUCCUUAGCCUGGAGGGAGGGAUAUACACGGAGCCCUCCCCACACCACCCUGCCCCUCCAGACCCCCCUGACCGAGCUUUCCUUUCUGCCCCCACCCACGCUGCCUCCGUAGUUAGGAACUGAGAGCGGCGAGUGACAGGUAACGGGGCCCAGCCCUGGUGUCCCGUACUGUCCCAGCCCAAGGAGGGCCCCGUGUGCGGCACAGGGCGUGCACUGGGCCCCAGCAGCAGCAGGGUGGGGACACUGAGUGUGCCGCCACGCCCGGGGGAUGCCUCGGGGUGGGAGCUGGGCCUGGCGACCCUCGGCGCAGGGCACCGGGGACACCACCCUGAUCCAACUCCUCUCCGCCUCUCUCCCUGCCUCCCUCUCUUUCCCUCUUCUGCUUCUCCCUCUGGCUCUCUCUCUCUGACUCCUCCACAUCCCCACAGACACCCGCCCCCUCUCCACGCAGCGGCCGCUCCCCGCACUGUGCAGCCUGGAAACCAUUGCUGAGGAGCCCGCCCCAGGCCCUGGCCCCCGCCACUAGCGGCCGUCCCCACCAGCUCUUCUCAGGGACGGCCCCCAUACCUCACAGGACCCGGAGCCAAUGUGGCAAGCCCCCCAGAAGACACCGAGGAACCCCGAGACAGUGGGCCUCGGCCGUGCAACGGCAAGGGCCCCGGUGGGGCAUACGAGGGGGCUCCUGGCAGCCAGACGGACGGCAGGAGCCAGCCCCGGACCCCGGGCCACCUGCCCGUGAUUAGAAGGGUGAAGAGUGAGGGGCAGGUGCCCACGGAGCCCCUGGGAGGAUGGCGGCCCCUGGCCAGUCCCUUCCCAGCCCCUGCUGUGUACUCCGACGCCACGGGCAGUGACCGGCUGUGGCAGCGGCUGGAGCCAUGUGGCCCCCGAGACAGCGUUUCCUCCUCCUCCAGCAUGUCAUCCAGUGACACUGUCAUUGACCUCUCCCUGCCCAGCCUGGGCCUGGGCCGCAGCCGUGAGAGCCUCGCAGGAGCCCACAUGGGACGCCUGCCUCCCAGGCCCCACUCGGCUUCAGCCGCCCGCCCAGACCUGCCACCUGUGACCAAGAGCAAAUCCAACCCCAACCUGCGGGCUACGGGUCAGCGGCCUCCCAUGCCUGAUGAACUGCGGCCCAGGCCCCUGGCCCCACGGAUGCCUGGCCUCCCUCUCCGGCCUCCCUGGGGCUGCCUUUCCCUGGUGGGCCUGCAGGACUGCCCAGUGGCUGCCAAGUCCAAGAGCCUGGGGGACCUCACUGCUGAUGACUUUGCCCCUAGCUUUGAGGGCAGCUCCCGCAGCCUUAGCCACAGCCUGGGCCUCCCGGGAGGGACACGGCGGGUGUCGGGGCCGGGGGUGAGACGGGACGCCCUGACAGAGCAGCUGCGCUGGCUCACAGUCUUCCAGCAGGCAGGAGACAUCACGUCACCCACCAGCCUGGGCCCGGCUGGGGAGGGGGUGGCAGGGGGUCCUGGUUUUCUGCGGCGCUCCUCCUCCCGCAGCCAGAGCCGCGUGCGUGCCAUUGCCAGCCGGGCCCGCCAGGCCCAGGAGCGGCAGCAGAGACUGCAGGGCCUGGGACGGCAGGGACCCCCAGAAGAGGAGCGGGGCACCCCCGAGGGCGCCUGCUCCGUGGGCCACGAGGGCAGUGUGGAUGCGCCAGCACCCUCCAAGGGAGCCCCGGGGCCAGCAUCCGCGGCCGCUGAAACCCUGGUCCUGCUCCGCCUCUGACCCUGUCAGUGGUGGGAACCUGGGCGGCUCUGGAGGCCCAGGGCAGGGGUGGGCGUGUUGUGUUUGCUCAGGAAACAGGGCAGCCAGGCCCCCAAAACUGUGUGUCCCUGGCUGCCCUGUGUCCCCUCGGCCCCUGCCCCCCUCCUGCCCCGCUCCCAGGGAGGAAAGGCUAAAGCUGCUGGCCCGGGGCCCACAGGAGGGGCUUCGAGGCUGGCCCCGCCAGGCAGUCUUCCCAGCGUUUUAGGAUCUAUACAUAGAGAAAUAUUUAAAUUUUUAGAAGCAAAACUUAUACGACAUUAAAAUGAUACCAAAUCCCUUUC